AUUACUUAGCUUUCAUGGAAGGACAAAAGACUGCCUGGAAUCCUAUUGCUGAAAACUGGAUCAAUUUCUGAGAGAGAGAGCAGUGGGGAGAAAUGUCUGCCAAGAACAAUCUCUGUGUAUAUACAGACUUCUCAUCUGUUGUAAUCCCACCAUGGGUUUUUCCUUGGAAAGAAGUGAUAUGAAUCAUCAUUGGUCAGAUUUUCAUCUAGUCUGAUGUCUUGUGUAUUACCAGGAUACAGAGAGCUUCCUACAAAGAAAUGCUCCUCUCCACUGCCAAGGGCUUUGAAUACCUUUGGAAGAGGCAGAUCACACCUUAAUGACUGAAUAUUUCAAUCUAACUCAUCUGGUGAACUACCGAAAAAUUAAAUCUUCCUGUGUCUGUGUUUCUACAUAAGAUGAAGAUGUACACCUUCCUGAAAUAAGCACUCUGCUUAUAAAUAGCAUGGAUUGGAGGCAAAUUGAUGGA
This 466-nucleotide long non-coding RNA is filed under the name Coturnix japonica (Japanese quail). Its description in RNAcentral is "lncRNA (ENSCJPG00005015916.1)". The record is from RNAcentral. Lineage: Eukaryota; Metazoa; Chordata; Aves; Galliformes; Phasianidae.